CAUGCAAGUCGAGCGGUCAAAAUGAGGGGGCUUGCCCCUGAAAGACGAGCGGCGGACGGGUGAGUAAUGCGCGGGAACGCGCCCUUUGGAGGGGGACAACCUUGGGAAACCAGGGCUAAUACCGCAUAACCUCCACGGAGCAAAGCGGGGGAUUUCUUCGGAAACCUCGCGCCAAAGGAGCGGCCCGCGUCCGAUUAGUUUGACGGCGGGGUAACAGCCCACCGUGACUACCAUCGGUAGCUGGUCUGAGAGGAUGAUCAGCCACACCGGGACUGAGACACGGCCCGGACUCCUACGGGAGGCAGCAGUGGGGAAUAUUGGACAAUGGGGGCAACCCUGAUCCAGCGAUGCCGCGUGUGUGAAGAAGGCCUUCGGGUUGUAAAGCACUUUCGCAGGGGAAGAAACGGUGCGCUCUAACAUAGCGCGCAACUGACGGUACCCUGAAAAGAAGCGCCGGCUAAUUCCGUGCCAGCAGCCGCGAUAAUACGGAAGGCGCAAGCGUUAAUCGGAAUGACUGGGCGUAAAGCGUGCGCAGGCGGCCGCGCAAGUCGGAUGUGAAAGCCCCGGGCUCAACCCGGGAAUGGCGUUCGAAACUGCGCG
This 600-nucleotide ribosomal RNA is filed under the name uncultured Gammaproteobacteria bacterium. RNAcentral's name for it is "bacterial SSU rRNA". It matches the Rfam family "Bacterial small subunit ribosomal RNA", at positions 54 to 639 of the family's 1533-position model. Lineage: Bacteria; Pseudomonadati; Pseudomonadota; Gammaproteobacteria. The record is from RNAcentral.